This 428-nucleotide RNase P RNA is filed under the name Deltaproteobacteria bacterium. RNAcentral describes it as "RNase P RNA component class A". It matches the Rfam family "Bacterial RNase P class A". Rfam says of the family: Ribonuclease P (RNase P) is a ubiquitous endoribonuclease, found in archaea, bacteria and eukarya as well as chloroplasts and mitochondria. Its best characterised activity is the generation of mature 5'-ends of tRNAs by cleaving the 5'-leader elements of precursor-tRNAs. Cellular RNase Ps are ribonucleoproteins. Lineage: Bacteria; Pseudomonadati; Myxococcota; Myxococcia. The record is from RNAcentral.
GGAGGUGGACGGAGGAUCGCCGGCGGACAUGUGCUGUCCGCGGGAGGAAAGUCCGGGCUCUAAAGGGCAGGGAGGUCGCUAACGGCGACCCGGGGCGACCCGAGGGAAAGCGCAACAGAAAGCACACCGCCGAUGGCCUUGCGGGGCGGUCGCCCCGGAAGGCACAGGCAAGGGUGAAAACGUGGGGUAAGAGCCCACGCGCGACGGCCGGGUGACCGGCGGCGCGGCAAGCCCCUCCCGGAGCAAGCUCGAAUAGAGGUGCCGUCGAGAGCGGCCCGUUCGAUCCGCCGCCUCCCAGGAGGCGGCGGCGGCACCUGGGUAAGAGCGCUCGAGCGCCGCAGCAAUGCGGCGCCUAGACGAAUGAUCCUCGCCGGCGUCGGGGCGACCCGCCGCCGGAACAGGACCCGGCUUACAGUCCGCCUCCGGCC